CCUACGGGGGGCUGCAGUGGGGAAUAUUGGACAAUGGGGGUAACCCUGAUCCAGCCAUGCCGCGUGUGUGAAGAAGGCCCUCGGGUUGUAAAGCACUUUCAGUGAGGAAGAACGCCUGGUGGUUAAUACCCAUCAGGAAAGACAUCACUCACAGAAGAAGCACCGGCUAACUCCGUGCCAGCAGCCGCGGUAAUACGGAGGGUGCGAGCGUUAAUCGGAAUUACUGGGCGUAAAGCGCGCGUAGGUGGCUUGAUAAGCCGGUUGUGAAAGCCCCGGGCUCAACCUGGGAACGGCAUCCGGAACUGUCAAGCUAGAGUGCAGGAGAGGAAGGUAGAAUUCCCGGUGUAGCGGUGAAAUGCGUAGAGAUCGGGAGGAAUACCAGUGGCGAAGGCGGCCUUCUGGACUGACACUGACACUGAGGUGCGAAAGCGUGGGUAGCAAACAGGAUUAGAUACCCUAGUAGUC
Molecule: ribosomal RNA, 465 nt
Filed under: Vreelandella stevensii
Lineage: Bacteria; Pseudomonadati; Pseudomonadota; Gammaproteobacteria; Oceanospirillales; Halomonadaceae
Description: partial 16S ribosomal RNA
Rfam family: Bacterial small subunit ribosomal RNA
Source: RNAcentral